CUGGAAGCGCCGCAAGGCGCACCCAGAAACCCUUUGUGAACUUAUACCUAUAUCGUUGCCUCGGCGCUGGCUGCCCCUCCCCUAGCGGGAGGGGGCCCUCCCCCUGUGGGAGAGGACAGCAGGCCCGCCGGCGGCCCAUUAAACUCUUGUUUUUACUGAGUAACUUCUGAGUAAAGCUUCUAAAUGAAUCA
This 191-nucleotide unclassified non-coding RNA is filed under the name uncultured Cytospora. RNAcentral describes it as "sequence contains ITS1". The record is from RNAcentral. Lineage: Eukaryota; Fungi; Ascomycota; Sordariomycetes; Diaporthales; Cytosporaceae.